Molecule: long non-coding RNA, 3368 nt
Filed under: Solanum lycopersicum (tomato)
Lineage: Eukaryota; Viridiplantae; Streptophyta; Magnoliopsida; Solanales; Solanaceae
Description: long non-coding RNA (SLYC_LNC001371)
Source: RNAcentral
CACCUUCUUUUCUCAAAAGAAAUCAAGCCGCAAGUUAAUGAAACGCGACAAGGUCAACAACAAUUCUAAACAACCUGGUAUGCACCCCCAUCUUCCCCAACGCGUAAACAACGCCCAACAACAAUCACAAAGAAUGAUUCCAAUCUUGAACAUGUGAAAUUGUCCUCGCACUUUUGUAUGGAUCCAUGUAGCCUUCAAGGACGAUCGAUCUAUCAAACUUCUUCUAGAAUGGAGCUAAACUUUCAGAAAAGGUUGUUUCUCUCAAAUGGUGAAUGACUUUUGAGAUUUGAUUUUAGGGUGGGACUCGUUCUUAUCGAUUUUUUUCCUUUUACCCCAAUUCCGAACCCUAAUAUCUUCCCAUAUUUACCUCCUCUUUUCACUUUAAGCAGGGGGAUUUCUUUGGGAGAAAACAAUUUUUUUGUGAUAGAGACAUAGAGAGUUGAAAAUAGCAAAAAUGAGGGGGAUGUUUGGAUGAUUUUUUUGUAAAAAAAGAGUUUCAAUUAGAUGAGACAUUAGAGAAAGAUUUGGAUAUUAUCUCAGUGUUUAGAGGAAACUGUACGUUUGAAAAGUUCUCGAAGAUAUUUGGUUCACUCUUAGCAUUUGUCCGCUUUGUUUUGUCCUUCCAAGUUUGUUGGGAUUCGUCGUUUCGGUGCACAAGUCGUUAAUAGCUCGUUGCUUUUAGUUAGAUGCCAGAAAAGGUAAUAUAUACUCCUUAAUUACUUUUUAGUUCAGUGUACAAUAGUAUGUAAUGAGGUUGUCUCUGUUGUGUCUUUCUCGACUUCAUUCUCCCUUGAGACGGAUAUGAAGGGUCAUGGCUUGCUACCAUUUUUUUUUCUUGGAGUUCUUGGUUGAUCAUUCUAUUUUCUACAUCUUGCCUAAACUAUUUGUUCAAAUCUAUACUUAAGCCUUAAGCUCGGCUGUCAUGUUUGUGGUGAAUCGCUUGUUGGUCGAGUUUUGAUAUUUGUGCUCAAUAGGUCUCAAACAAUGAAUAUUAUUUAUCUGGUUUGUUACUGAUAUACCAUUUAGCUCUCAUUAUAACUUGAAUUUUUAUGCAUUUUGGAAACUCGGUUUCAACUUAUGACAACGUUGUUUAUUACUAAUCAUAAUCCAGUUUCUAAUAUGGUUUGUGUCUCAUAAGCAAGCUGUUUGUAAUUUUUUUUUUUGUUGUAUGUUCUCCUUUGCUUUAGUUUUAAGUUUAGAUUCUAUGGACCAUACUACUAGCUUCAAGUUUAGUUUUGUUGAUUUGUUUAUCAAAUGUCACCAUGAUGGUGAUUAGAUAAAGAUCUUGCAAAUUUAUUGUGACAUUCACCAAUUUUCUUUCUGAGGUACCGUUUUAGUGUGACUGUCACAAUAGUUUGUUAUCGAUUGUUUUUAUUUUGGUCAUUCUUAGAUUUUUUAUUUAUUACGAAUGUUCCCUCUUCAUAUUUUUUACAAGUAAGUUCUUUCUAAAAAUAAUUGACUUGGCUCUAAAUUGUCUUUAGCUUGAGUACAGUUAUAUCCCUUUAAUAUGAGUGUUUUAUGAUUGCGCUGAAAAAAUUGUUCUUUACUUUACUGUUUUGACUUGCUCGCUAAUAUGAAUUUUUCUUCUUAAAAUAAUUGGUUAAUAUUUCUCUGUUGGGUUUCAUGUGUUUAUCUUGAGAGUUUUGAUUUCUUUCUCUUUGAAAUCAAAAAAUGUAAUUUUCAGUGCUCAAAGUGUAGAAAGGCACUGACCAUUUGGAGAAUUAAGGUGUUGUAUUUUAAAUGCUCAAUUUCCUCAAUUGAUUAAGUUGUUGCAAGAUAGAUUGCUAAUCUUUCUUUUCUUUUUCUUUGUUUUUCUUAUGUGAUACCAAUCCGAGUAACAUGGACUCCACUCUUGCAUAUCAUUGAGUCUUAUCAAGUCAAGCUUUAGUAUUCGGGGGAGAAAGAGAGGCUAAUGCAAGACUCCAAAGGCUCAGAAAGGGAUCUAUAUACCGUUUUAUACAUUGAUAUAUAGUCAGAAAAUAUGAUAUGCAAGUCCAAGAAAUAUACAGGGGAUCGAGGAGCUAAAUUAGGAUGUAUAAAAAGAGUAUACAAUCCAAUAUAAAGGGAAAAAACUAAAAUACACCCCAUAUAAGGAAGUAUAAGAUCAUUGUAUAUGCUAGAUUUUUGAAGGAAAACAGGCCCAAAGGCCUAAAAAUUUACAGCAGCAAAAUUUAGGCAAAAAGCCCAAAUUUAAUAUUUCCUUUCCUUCUUAUUUAUUUAUCAUUAUAUUUAACUAAAAAUAUAAAUGACCUUGGUUUUAUUUAAAGAUGAUAGUCAUUUCUCUUAUUUUUCUAUAUAUUCAAAAUUCAUGUACAUAUACGUAUGCAUAUUAAUUUUACUUGGUCUUUAUUUUACUUUCUAGUCUUUGUCAACACUUAAGUUUAUCCCUUUAUAUAGUUACUUUACCUUUAAAAAUAAUUAAUUAAAAAUUAAUAUAUAGUGAGUAAAUAAAUAAAAAUUUGAAUUUACAUAACUUCAAAUUUUUUUGAAAAAUAUUAGAUAAGUCUUUUAGUCAAAAUGCCGGUCAAUCAUGAGUUAGCGGGCAUACUAAGGGCCUAACACCUUCUCAGAAUGUACAUUUGAACUUCGAACCAUUUUUAAUUGAUUUUAUUUAUAUAAAUCUUUCGAAAAUAAUUAUAAGUCUUUCUUCAUUUAUUUACUAAAAAUCAAGUGGCGACUUUGUUAAUUUGGAAAAUUGAUUUAUCUCAAAUCAUAAGUUUAAUUGAUUUUUUGUAACUUAGUCAUUCUUUUUUAUUAUAUUUUUUCGUAAAACAGAAAAUGCGACUCAGCUGGAGAUUUAGUUAAGUUCUAACCAUGCGAUUUGAUUAUUUGACUAAUUGUUAUUAAUUGUUAAAAAUGAUAUCUGUAUUGAAUAUGUUCAAAUUAUAUAACUAUCAUUGAAUUUCAUGGCAUUUUAUGAUAUAUAUGUAUAAUAUAUUAAAGGACGGUUUGCGGAACUGCAACAAAUUUUUUUUAUACUCAACCAUUUUUCUGAACGAUCAACAAUUUAUUGGUUCGUCAUCCUUCCUAUUGUUGUCGUAAAUUCCAACCUAAGUUUUCCAUUUUGAAUCCAAGUAUUUAAAAGCCACUCUUAGUUUACUAGCAUAGAGACGAGAAAAUUUAGGAGCAUUUGAACUAAGAUGACCCAAUACCCAUGGCGUGUUUGUCCAUUAGAAGCCCACCUUGUGUCUAGUUUGUCCAUUUGCCAACAAAUAGACAAUCAUGUGUACAUGUUUAUUGAAUGUUGUAUAUGUGUUUUUAUUAAAUUUAUUGUCUAUGUUGGUGGGGUUUAACUAAUAUUUGUUUUCUCUUAUUGUAGUAAUAAUCCAACACGCGAGCCUCUUAGAACAAGAAUGUUGAUUGUCCCC